RNAcentral lists this ribosomal RNA (403 nucleotides) under bacterium. RNAcentral describes it as "partial 16S ribosomal RNA". It matches the Rfam family "Bacterial small subunit ribosomal RNA", at positions 355 to 776 of the family's 1533-position model. The record is from RNAcentral.
UGGGGAAUAUUGCACAAUGGAGGGAACUCUGAUGCAGCGACGCCGCGUGAACGAAGAAGGCUUUCGAGUCGUAAAGUUCUUUUAUUUGGGAAGAUAAUGACGGUACCAUAAGAAGAAGCCCCGGCUAACUACGUGCCAGCAGCCGCGGUAAUACGUAGGGGGCUAGCGUUGUCCGGAAUCACUGGGCGUAAAGGGUUCGCAGGCGGAAAUGCAAGUCAGGUGUAAAAGGCAGUAGCUUAACUACUGUAAGCAUUUGAAACUGCAUAUCUUGAGAAGAGUAGAGGUAAGUGGAAUUUUUAGUGUAGCGGUGAAAUGCGUAGAUAUUAAAAAGAAUACCGGUGGCGAAGGCGACUUACUGGGCUCAUUCUGACGCUGAGGAACGAAAGCGUGGGUAGCAAACAGG